This 253-nucleotide ribosomal RNA is filed under the name uncultured bacterium. RNAcentral's name for it is "partial 16S ribosomal RNA". It matches the Rfam family "Bacterial small subunit ribosomal RNA", at positions 524 to 776 of the family's 1533-position model. The record is from RNAcentral.
GACGUAGGGCGCGAGCGUUGUCCGGAUUUAUUGGGCGUAAAGAGCUCGUAGGCGGCUUGUCGCGUCGUCCGUGAAAACCCGUGGCUCAACUGCGGGCUUGCGGUCGAUACGGGCGGGCUAGAGUUCGGUAGGGGAGACUGGAAUUCCUGGUGUAGCGGUGAAAUGCGCAGAUAUCAGGAGGAACACCGGUGGCGAAGGCGGGUCUCUGGGCCGAUACUGACGCUGAGGAGCGAAAGCGUGGGGAGCGAACAGG